UAAUUAAUCGCUCGGAUCCGGCCAUGGGGAAAGAUCGAACAACAUAUGUGUUAUAGGAUACAAUGGGAAUCGGCUCAUAGGUGUGAAGGGUGGAAAUCACGGUCUGAUGAAGAGACUGGAAAGGCUCACGGAUCAUUGGAUCAUGCCGGAAAAGUGUGAGGCCAAACACUUAAGGUGGCCAAGCAGGACAAGAAGAAGCAGUGCGCCUUAGGGAUGCGCUCACAAGCGUAUUCAGUACAACCGUUUGAAUGAUAUAUAGGAUAUUUCGCGUCACUUUCGACCCGUUUGACCUGUUUCAAAAGUUUCAAUAAUAAUCAAGUUUUUCAAGUUACACAUUUGAGCCGUUAAAGAGGUCGAAUAUGCACUUCUAUAAUGCUAAAGGUUCUAUUUAUAAUCUUGUAAUUUAAACUUGCAGAGAGCAUCAUGGAGCCAUACCAUAGGUACCUGCAUACAUACGUUUCUGUAUCGGGCCCACAUUUAGGUUAUCUCUACAAUUCCAAUUCUCUUUUCAAUUCUGGAUUAUGGCUGUUGAAGAAGCUUAAAAACACCCGUUGCAUUCAUCAGCCGACUUUCACUGAUGACAUAGAUCUCGAGAAUACCUUCUUCUACAAUCUAUCCAAGCAAAAGACUUUGGAAAGUUCAAAAACAUAAUCCUGCUAUCAUCUCCUCAGGUGGCAAUUUCUACUCAUUUACGUGUUUAUUACUUGACUUGGGUUGUGUUUUAGGCCAAUCAGACAUUGAAGGGUAACUUAUACCAACUUGAACUG
Long non-coding RNA from Helianthus annuus (common sunflower), 767 nucleotides. RefSeq lists it as uncharacterized. NCBI's taxonomy places the organism in Eukaryota, Viridiplantae, Streptophyta, Magnoliopsida, Asterales, Asteraceae. The transcript is spliced from 5 exons. The record is from RefSeq and is a predicted model, not a curated record.